RNAcentral lists this ribosomal RNA (403 nucleotides) under uncultured bacterium. RNAcentral describes it as "partial 16S ribosomal RNA". It matches the Rfam family "Bacterial small subunit ribosomal RNA", at positions 28 to 526 of the family's 1533-position model. The record is from RNAcentral.
GACGAACGCUGGCGGCGUGCCUAAUACAUGCAAGUCGAACGCAGUGGGGCCGGGUGAGUAACCCGUGGGUAACCUCCCAUCAGAGGGGAUAACACUUGGACACAGGUGCUAAACCGAUACUGAUGGCUGAACCCGCGGGGCAUUAGCUAGUUGGUGAGGUAACGGAUCACCAAGGCCACGAUGCAUAGCGGACCUGAGAGUGGUAUCGGCCACACUGGGACUGAGACACGGCCCAGACUCCUACGGGAGGCAGCAGUAGGGAAUCUUCGGAAAUGGACGAAAGUCUGACCGAGCAACGCCGCGUGAGUGAAGAAGGUGUUCGGAUCGUAAAACUCUUUUGUUAGAGAAGCGGUAUCUAACCAGAAAGCCACGGCUAACUACGUGCCAGCAGCCGCGGUAAUUC